GAAUAAUCUCUGAUUCGGUUUUUGAUGCUACAAAGUUUUAUGUAGCAUCAUUUAGAGCGUUUUCUUUGUUAUACCUCAUUUGGAGAAUUUCAAUUGAAAUUAAUCUGGUGCUUUUGAAUCCUCUGUACGUUUCCUAUUUCCGUUGCCUGUGGAUUGGGAGGAAUGAGAAAAUAAUAAAGACCCGAAUCAACUCAAGCCAUAGAGUUACGGUUCCAUUCUAAUAGAAAUUUCUGACGCCGGCUAAUUGCAAAUUACAGUUCAAUUUAAUUUUAAUCGAAAAUAUUGGGGAUGCCCUUAGGGAACUAAGAUUAUGUAGAUAUGAUGAUACUGGCCUCCAUACACUACGUUGGCUGGCACUUAGUAAUAUCAUUUGCGUUUAAGUUUCUCAUUAGAUUUUAGCUCAGAUGGCCUCUCGAAAGAAAACCAGUGGCACCCAGUUCUACCGCAGGUUCUGUUUUGUUCUUGACGGGUCAAAUUGUAGCUUGCAUAUUGUAACCGGUGAGAUUGCAGGUUGCAGGAACUUGCUGUUGGAAUGCACCAAAUUUACAUAUUUGAGUAAAGACAAUAGUUGCCAUCAGAUGUAAUCGGGGUACAUUUGGGGUUGACUGGUAUGAGUCAAAGUGGAGGAAUUUAUGGAGGAUGAUGUAAUAUGGGGUUGACUGAUAGAGACGUCUGAAACCACCGAUGUUGUUCACUGGUGUGCAUAAAAGACACUAAAAAAAUUGCUAAGACACGAAUAUGAUGCAAACUUUCAACCAACACCAAAUUUCUGAAGAAAGAAAAGAUACUUAAUAGUGAAACACAGAGUUGAAAACAAGUUUUAAUUCAUUUGUGUUUCUUUGUUUAAACAGAGGUGGAAGCACAUUGAUGGUGGCGAGCAACUAACUCGCAAUAGGAAUUUUUUUUUUCUGUUGUUCCUGUAGCGUUUUAGAAAAACAAACUUUUGGACGAAAUUGGGGACCAAAAUGCCAUUUCUUUCUCUCUUUUUGAUUCCUGACCUAUGAUACGUGAUUGACACCAAGUAUGAGAGAUACUCUCAGAAAAAGGGUUGGAUAUUUGAGGUGGUGUAAGUCACAGAUUCAAAUAUGAAAGGAUUCAAGGUCAAUCUUCUUUUUCUUAUUAUUUUUAUUUUAUUUUUGCUAAUGGGAGGAUUUUAUUUGAUCAUUUAACAAAGAGUCAUGCGUGCCGAGUGUAUUUAAUUUGGCAGGAAGCGAGUGCUGCAAUAUCCGGGGCAGAUGUCUACGGAAAACUAAAAUUCGAGAGCGGAGUUCAUAGGGUGCAGCAAGUUUCCAUCACGGAGAAAUCAGGACGUGUUCAUACAAGUGUUGUGUAUGUUGCUAUCCUUCCCCAAGCAAAUGGGGUGAUUGGUGACUUCCUAAAAUAUUCUCAAGAAACAGUUCAAGAUCCAAGGUUGUUUCAGAAAGUUCAAGGGCCUUUAGAUGCUGACCUUGAUAAUUUUGUGGCCCCACUAAUCAGAUUCAGAUGAGUUUUGCAUCUAGAGAACCUUCACAAAGUGAAUCAUCUGCCACUGCACCUGUCAUAUCAAGUGGUUUUGAUGUAUGUGACGGCCCCACCAACUCAGGCCAAGCACCUACUAAAGGUACAGAUACAAAGGAACAAAUGCAUGAUAAUCUUCAACAGGACCGCAAGCAGGGGAAAAUUUAAUUUGGUUUGGAUCAGUAACAUCGGCCGCCUUAAGUGAAUAUGGAGUUUUUCUUUAAUUCUUUUGAACGGUUUAAUUUUGUCACCAAUGGGAUUUGAACUAUUACAUGUCAUAUUAGUUCUGUCACGUUUUAUGUAGUUUUAAUAAGAUGAGGGACUAUUCUGUAAUAAUUAGAUUGUUUAGGGAGUGGUUAGCAAGGUCUCUAACGAACUAUGAGUUAGUUGAUGUAACUUGGUAAUGAGAUUGAUUCCUAUUCUCUA
Long non-coding RNA from Helianthus annuus (common sunflower), 1923 nucleotides. RefSeq lists it as uncharacterized. The transcript has 9 exons. NCBI's taxonomy places the organism in Eukaryota, Viridiplantae, Streptophyta, Magnoliopsida, Asterales, Asteraceae. The record is from RefSeq and is a predicted model, not a curated record.